UACGUAGGGUGCAAGCGUUGUCCGGAAUUAUUGGGCGUAAAGAGCUCGUAGGCGGUUUGUCGCGUCUGCUGUGAAAACGCGAGGCUCAACCUCGCGCCUGCAGUGGGUACGGGCAGACUAGAGUGCGGUAGGGGAGAUUGGAAUUCCUGGUGUAGCGGUGGAAUGCGCAGAUAUCAGGAGGAACACCGAUGGCGAAGGCAGAUCUCUGGGCCGUAACUGACGCUGAGGAGCGAAAGCGUGGG
This 242-nucleotide ribosomal RNA is filed under the name uncultured bacterium. RNAcentral describes it as "partial 16S ribosomal RNA". It matches the Rfam family "Bacterial small subunit ribosomal RNA", at positions 524 to 765 of the family's 1533-position model. The record is from RNAcentral.